GGCUCGUGUCAGUGGAAGCUGGGGUGUCGGCGGGCGGCCGCGGCCGGGUCUAGCGGUGCCUGCGGAAGAAGGAGGAGGAGGGCUGGCGAUGAGAAGCAGCAGGGGGAAUCAAGGGCAAGAAGGGACCCAGAGGGGCAGGUGGCUGAGAUGCUGGCGUCCAGGUGACCCGAGGAAUCCUCUGGAGAUACAGGCCCGCGCAUGCGCGUGCUCGAGCGCUGAAGCCCAUUGCCCGCAGGGCGCUGGACUGGCGCCCCGGCCGGCGAGGCUGUCUAGUCCAGGCUCCAGGCCCCGGCUCUGGCCAGGCGCCGCCGCCUCCCGGUGCAGCUGAAAGUCGACGAAGAGGGCGGGGCGGGGGCGGCUUGUGGACUUCCACACUUUUCCUCUCUUCGGGCCAGUCUGGGGAGAGGGUGGCUAGCUGUGGCGGCGGCCAAUUACGUGGCGGACCUGCGGGGCUAAGCUGGCACGUCACUUCCGACUAGUGGAGUUUUUAGCCUUUUAACAUUCAAGGAUUAGGUAAAAGUCUUGCAGUGAAAAACCCGAGGACCCUUACCGCAAGUGUCUUUUGCUCCCAGCUACUGAUACUGGAUUCCACUCGUGAUUCUCCCUUUCUUAGCGCAUUCAUGAUAUAGACAUCAGUCUCUGAGCUGGAGGAGGACAAAGGCAGCGGUCCUGUGAAUUCUAUGCUCUAGCUUGGGUUAAGGGAUUUGGAAUUGCACUUGUUUCAGAGAGCUCCCUCUUUGCCCACUAGCAGGGCAUUAGCUGGUGCUGAAGACAGUGGCUGCUUGGCGAGCCUGGAUCUCCAAGUGACCCCCUCAGCAACUCCUGAUGAACAGGACUGAAGCCAAUAUUAAAGCAAGUCAACCAAAGGUUCUCUGGUGUAGACAAGACAGCAAAAGGACAGACUACCUUGUGGAACCUAGCAUUGUUCUCCUUCUGCAGCACUAAGUAACAUUUGUUCUCCGUUAAGAUCUUUGCAAACCACACACAAGAAUUGCUGGUCAUCCUGCCAAUAGAUGCUGCUCACAGAACCAAAUUUCCUGUGCUGAAUUGUCACUCAUGGGCUUGAGAGUAGGAGACUGGAGACCAAGGUGGCUAGAAUCCAGUUGGGCCUGAUGUCUCCCUGUUGAAAGGGCUCCUUGUGGAAUGAAUAGCACAUGGCUCCUGUGGUGGAUCUGAUAGUGGCAUAGCACCAAGUGAUGCAGGCCUGCCAGGGGCCACAGACACAGAAGAUGCUCCCGGGGUCCCCCAUGUACUCCAGACACACUGCAGGCCACCUCUCCCAGCAGGUUGCCAGUCAUGGGCCCCAUCAUCAUGACUUCUGUCCAAGGUACUGUGUGCAGAAAUGUGAUUGAGAUUCAAGUCAGGGCCUCUCUGCCCUUUUCCCUCCAGAAACAAAACCAAGAUAAUUUAUCCUGAACACGGUGAAAAAAGGAAGGGAGGGAGGAGAAAAAGUCCGGGUCUCACCUGGGAUUCUCUGUCUCCUGCAACAUGAAGGAUUUAGCCUGGGAGGAGGUGGUGAGAACUCUGGGAGAGAAAAAAGAAGGAAAGAAUAGUUUUACCCAUGCUGAAGUUAAUUUAAACCUUCACCUAGAGAAGCAAAAAAAAAAAACCCACACUUUCCCAUUUUGUGCCUCCCUUCCUAGAGUUUUAGCCAAAGGUUUAGCUAAGUAAUUGGUUUUACCAGCGCACUCACUCCUCCUAUCCCAAGUCUGUUUGACUCCCUCCCCAUCAUCCUCCUCACCUCUUUUCAGGCAGGGUGGGGAUAGCAGCAGGAGGAGAUUUUGGGAGCCUGGCAACUCCUGCAAGGACCGCAGGACAGCCCCUCUGUGGGGAUGCGUGGUGCCCCAUCUGCCGCCCUUCUGAAGAAUGCACUGCCUUCACUUUUUACUGUGUUAGAGUCCAUCCAGACUGUUCUAUCCAAAAAAGUUUCUUUUUCCCCCACAGGCAAUCAGGAAAUGAUUCCUUUCCCGACUGCUUCUGUCUAGUGCCUGGGAAUCUUGAGUCAAUCCCUCAGUAAGUCAGUGACUAGGGAAAUCCCUCUCUGAGCCUCCCAGUUCAUGUUGCUUAGGGAACCUGAUAUUUUCGUGAAACCUGCCUACACAUGGGCAGCCCAACAGCAGAACAAAUGGUGGUGACCAAAGUGAACAAAGAAGUAUAGUUGUGCCAGCUUCGUAGUUGCCCAUGUGGACAAGUCAGCAGGAUCAGGACACGAGGAAGAGUAAAUGUGAGACAGUCAAUGUGACUUCUGCGAUAAACAGAUUUUUAAACCCCGAAAUUUUGCAAAAUUUUGGUGAAACCUGAACUUUCUUCGUUGCAUAUACUGGCACUAUCUGUACCAUCAUACAACUGUCUCACAUUAAAGCUAUUUUUCUUGGGCACUGAUGAGUAAGGUUGGUAUAAGUUCCUCAGAUCAACAAAAACCCAUUUUCCUGUAAGUCUUACAUUUAGUAUUUAAGGAACUAAAACUUAAAUACAUUUUGUGAAAUGGUUGACACUUCACUGAUAAUGAUUUAUUGCUUGGAUUAAUAAAUUUUCCAAAAGUUGUCUUAUGUAGAAUAUGGUUUGCAACCAGCAGAACCAUUAAUCUAUACUGCAAUGAUAUGCACUAUGUAUAAUUGUUUAAAAGCCUCUACUUAAUGAUGUAAAAUGCUCUAUUUAAUUACACAUUUGGGUAAACUGUAUACUAACAUCUGAUGGCAUUUUUCCACUGUUUGUUGCUUUUUUCAAAUACUUUAUUGUACAAAGCUGUUCUUAAUAUUUUUCAAGUUUUUUUCUUUGAAUUUUGCUAAUGUUUUCCUUGAAUUAUGAGCACUGACAGAAUGUGCUUAGCACUUUUGGCUAUUCACACAGCUUUUGAGCAUGAUUUGCAUCCAAUAUUUACAUUGCUAGCAAUAAUAAGCCAUCUGUGAGUUUUGUCAAAAGUUAUUGGGGAUUUUUUAAAUUUUAGAAAUGCAAAUUAUUGUUUCUUUGAACUAACUCUUAUGCAGUUGCAAAGGCAUUUCCAGUUGUUAUAGUUUGUGUACAAUAUCAGGUGUUCCAGAUUAUGAUUCAUUAUUAAUAUCAUUGCUUCCUUGUUCCCUCUGAGGUCCAGAAGAUUCAUGUUUACAAUAUUUAGAAACAAUGUUAAAAAGGUAUCCAAAGUUUGUCACUUUAUUAUUAGUUUGUUCUUAAUAUUCUGUUUAAGUUUUUGAAUUCAUAGAUAUCAAAACGCUGCACAAUUAUGAUUUCCACAGGAAUAACAACACACUAACAAUAAGAACCAAAAACAGCAAAUAGGCUGCCUACAAGUUUUGACAAUAUUAGGAUAAUGAUAAUGACAGUUUUUCUAAAUCUCACAGUAAAGAAUGCAGCAACCCAGCAACACUGCUACCUGUGGCCUCAGGCUGCAGUGUCAGCUCUUCCCUGGGUCUCCAGCCUGCCAGUCUAACCUGAAAAUUAUGUACUUGCCAGCCCCCACAGUCACGUGAGUGAACUGGCCCAGGCUGGUCACCAGGGUCAGUUUCUCUGUGUGUCAUUAAUUCAUUCAGUCUUCAGCAGUCUCUUUGGAGCUGAGAUGUACCUACCAUCUGCCUUUUGGGUGCUUAGGGUGGAGAACCAGAAAAGUAUAACCUAGUGUGUAUCCUCAAAGAGCUAACAAUAUGGGGUGGUACCUAUAGGUCUGGAAACACUUUACUGACUCUGUGAGGCAUACCAGGAGACGUCAGAGAACAGUCCCUCCUCAAAUGCCAAAUGAGAUGCAGAAGAAAUAGUUUGCUCAAGUUCAUGGGCCAGAUAUCCCAGUGGUCAGGGAGUUUCAUGAAUGAGAUGGAACUUUGCAUGGAACCCGAGGGAUGUGUAUGAUUUGAGUAGAUGAAGAAAAUGAGACUUUCCAAGCAGCUAGAAGUUAGGGAGCAGCAAGAUGUGUGGUGGGAUUGAGCACAGUUGGUUCAGAGGAUAGACUGCAGUUUUAAUAAUUUGUAGUAAAUAUCUCCCAACUGUUUGGCACUAUUGGAGCAAGUUCUUGAAUGCCAAAUGAAGGCAUAAAUCAGUAAGAGGCAUAAUAAAAGGCUGAGCAGUGCUUGGCUUUUUACGAACUGAUCCUGAUAGGAGCAGCUGUUCAACAAAGUUGCCAGGUCACCGUUACAUAGUCCCUGCCUUCUAGGGGCUCACUGCCUACUGGGAGAGACAGUCUGAAAGUUGGUGGAGCAUGUAACUGUUGGAUGAGGAGUUUGAGCCUGUGGACUGUGGGACCCCCGAGGAGGGUGUGGCUACUCUAGGCAGAACAAUCCCACAGUUUAUUUAUAUUUAACCUUGAAAUUCAUUAGAGGAUUUUUCAGCAGAGGUUUGGUACUUGUUAAUGUUAAGGUUUGCAUUCUCUAGAACCUCAAGGAAAGCUGUACCGUGCAUAAUGUACCCUCUUAUGUUAAUGUUGUGUACUGUGAUCCUGUUUCAGGGACUUGCACUUAGGAAUCUGUUACAGUGAGCACAGAAGCAGACCUGUGGGCUCAUAGUCUUCACCCCCCACCCAUAUAUACAAGAUGAACAGAGUGGAGGUUAAACAACUUGACUAAACAACACAGUUCAUGGUAAAGCCCAAGACUGUACCUGCCCAUCCACUGCCUUUUCCAUGUAUCCUGGAACUGAGCAUAGACCUCUUCCCAGGCAGAGCUGACAGCAAGUAAAGGAGAUCAUAAUCAGGGGACCAAACAACUUUGUCUAAAGUGUGAAUGUCACCUAAGGAGAAGCUGUGAGAUCAGAAGGGUGGGGCAGAGGAGCAGACACCAUGAGGGAGAGUCCUUGGGGGUACAUCUGCCAGACUGACACUGUCUGGCCUGGGCAGUGGAGGGGCUAGCAGGAACCACAGGUACUGGUGGUGUGGCUACUACCGUUACAACUGCCUGUGCUUGGACAUGGACCCUCUGCAAUAUGCGGCAGUUUCAUUCAUUGCCCCCUACAUUCUACACCAAGUAGAAAUGGAAGGCAAUUGGAUACUUCACAGACAAGAUCUAAGUGGAGAAGGAAUGCGUCCUGUGGCUGCAGAGAUCCUUGGAGCUUGGAGGGGAGAGCUUGAGCCCCACUGAUGAUGACCUCCCACAGCUCGCCAACUCAGCCCUCCCUAAGUCCCCAUCGGGGGCCAAUUCUCACUCUGGGGUUGGGGGGACUCCACCAUAGCUCAUCCAUCAUAGGGAUGUUGGUAUCUACUGUGGGUUGGGUAGGGCCGAUGUGCUGAGGAUGGCUCCCCCACAAGCAAGAGAUGUGGAUUUGGGGAGCUUCCCAUCUUGUGUUGAAGGAACAUAACUCAGAAUAAUAAGAGCCAACUAUAACAAACCCACAGCCAACAUCAUACUGAAUGGGCAAAAGCUGCAGGCAUUCCCCUUGAAAAGUGGCACAGGAUAAGGAAGCCCUUUCUCACCACUCCUAUUCAAUAUAGUGUUGAAAGUCCUGAUCACAGCAGUCAGGCAACAGAAAUAAUAAAGGGCAUCCAAAUAGGAAGAGAGGAAGUCAAACUAUCCUUGUUUGCAGACAGUAUGAUUCUAUAUCUAGAAAACCCCAUAGCCUCAGCCCAAAAGGUCCUUCAUCUGAUAAUUUCAGCAAAGUUUCAGGAGACAAAAUCAGUGUACAAAAAUCACUAACAUUCCUAUACACAGUCGCCAAGCCAAGAGCCAAAUCAGGAGCACAAUCCCAUUCAUAAUUGCCACAAAAAAGAAUAAAAUACCCAGGAAUGCAGCUAACCAAGGAAGUAAAGGAUCUCUACAAUGAGAAUCACAAACGCUGCUCAAAGAAAUCAGAGAUGACACAAACAAAUGGAAAAACUUUCCAUGCUCAUGGCUAGGAAGAAUCAAUAUCAUUAAAGUGGCCAUACUACCCAAAGCAAUUUAUAGAUUCAAUGCUAUUCCUAUCAAACUAUCAAUUACAUUUUUCACAGAACUAGAAAAAACUUAAAAUUCAUAUGGAACCAAAAAGCCUGAGUAGUCAAGGCAAUCCUAAACAAAAAGAACAAAGGUGGAGGCAUCACAUUACCUAACUUCAAACUACAGGGCUACCAUGACCAAAACAGCAUGGUACUGGUACAAAAGCAGACACACAGACCAGUGGGACAGAAUAGAGAGCCCAAAAAUAAGGCCACAAACCUACAGCCAUCUGAUCUUCAACAAAGUUGACAAAAACAAGCAAUGGGGAAAGGUCUCCCUAUUCAAUAAAUGGUGCUGGGAUAACUGGCUGGCCAUAUGCAGAAGAUCGUAACUGGACCCCUUUUACUAUGUACAAAAAUUAAGAUGGUUUAAAGAGUUAAAACCCAAAAUUAUAAAAAUCCUGAAGAUAACUUAGGCAAUACCAUUCUGGACAUAGGAACUGGCAAAUAUUUCAUGAUGAAGACACCAAAAGCAAUUGUAACAAAAGCAAAAAUGGACAAAUUGGAUUUAAGAGCUUUUUCAUAGCAAAAUAAACAACAGGGCAGACAAUCUACCAAAUGACAGAAAAUUUUUGCAAACUAUGCAUCUGACAAGGGGCUAAUAUCUAGCAUCUAUAAGGAAUUUAAACACAGUUACAGGAAAAAAAAAACCCACUCCAUUAAAAAAUGGGCAAAGGACAUGAACAGACACUUUUCAAAAAAGACAUACAUACAGCCAACUAGCGUGUUAAAGAAAACCUCAAUUAUCACUGAUCAUUAGAGAAAUGCAAAAUCAAAACCAUGAUGAGAUAUCAUCUGCCAGUCAGGAUGGCUACAAAAAAGUAAAAAAAUAAUAGAUGUUGGUGAGGUUAUGGAGAAAAGGAACUUAUACACUUGUUAGGAGUGUAAAUUAGUUCAAUCACUGUGGACAGCAGUGUGGUGAUUCCUCAGAGAGCUAAAAACAACUACCAUUUGACUCACCAAUCCCAUUACUGGAUAUUUACCUAAAGGAAUAUAAAUCAUUCCACCAUAAAGACACAUGCAAGUGUAUGUUCAUUGCAGCACUAUUAACAGUAACAAAGCUGGGCACAGUGGCUCACCUCACGACUGUAAUCCCAGCACUUUGGGAGGCUGAGGUAGGCGGAUCACCUGAGGUCGGCAGUUUGAGACCAGCCUGACCAACAUGGAGAGACCCCAUCUCUACUAAAAAUACAAAAUUAGCCAGGUGUGGUGGCUCAUGCCUGUAAUCCCAGCUACUUGGGAGGCCAAGGCAGGAGAAUUGCUUGAACCCAGGAGGCAGAGGUUGCAGUGAGCCGAGAUCACACCAUUG
This 7199-nucleotide long non-coding RNA is filed under the name Homo sapiens (human). RNAcentral describes it as "HSALNT0333610". The record is from RNAcentral. Lineage: Eukaryota; Metazoa; Chordata; Mammalia; Primates; Hominidae.